Molecule: small nuclear RNA, 107 nt
Filed under: Spermophilus dauricus (Daurian ground squirrel)
Lineage: Eukaryota; Metazoa; Chordata; Mammalia; Rodentia; Sciuridae
Source: RNAcentral
AUGCACACUUCGGCAGCACAUAUACUAUAAUUGGAACGAUACAGAGAAGAUGAGCAUGGCCCUUGCACAAGUAUGACAUGCAGAUUUGUGAAGCGUUCCAUAUUAAA